UACGGAGGGGGCUAGCGUUGUUCGGAAUUACUGGGCGCAAAGCGCACGUAGGCGGCUUUGCAAGUUAGAGGUGAAAGCCCGGGGCUCAACUCCGGAAUUGCCUUUAAAACUGCAUCGCUAGAAUUGUGGAGAGGUAAGUGGAAUUCCGAGUGUAGAGGUGAAAUUCGUAGAUAUUCGGAAGAACACCAGUGGCGAAGGCGGCUCACUGGCCCGGUACUGACGCUGAGGUGCGAAAGCGUGGGGAGCAAACAGG
Molecule: ribosomal RNA, 253 nt
Filed under: uncultured bacterium
Lineage: Bacteria
Description: partial 16S ribosomal RNA
Rfam family: Bacterial small subunit ribosomal RNA
Source: RNAcentral